RNAcentral lists this non-coding RNA (254 nucleotides) under uncultured bacterium. Its description in RNAcentral is "partial 16S ribosomal RNA". It matches the Rfam family "Bacterial small subunit ribosomal RNA", at positions 524 to 776 of the family's 1533-position model. The record is from RNAcentral. RNAcentral also lists the same sequence under 1 other name.
UACGUAGGGAGCGAGCGUUGUCCGGAUUUAUUGGGCGUAAAGGGCGCGUAGGCGGUUAAGUAAGUCGGGUGUUAAAUCUCCAAGCUCAACUUGGAGCUGCCACUCGAAACUGCUUUGACUUGAGUCUGGUAGGGGAACACGGAAUACCUGGUGUAGCGGUGAAAUGCUUAGAUAUCAGGUGGAACACCAGUGGCGAAGGCGGUGUUCUGGGCCAGUACUGACGCUGAUGCGCGAAAGCGUGGGGAGCGAACAGG